CACGUCCCGGCCGCUCCAGGGGCGCGUUGGCUUGGCUCGCGGCAGGAGGAAGACGAUGCAGUAACGUGGUGGCUGUGAUGCCAAGUGCUUGUGCGAGAGCUCCCAUCCAGGACAAUAGCUAAUACGCAGCCUUCUGGAUAGACUUGGUUUCGGUGAACUUGAGCGGGUUUGUCCAGUACUAGGCCUAGUUAGGCUUGAACUAUCUCCAAGGGCAGAGACUCCACAACUUCUGCAGGUAACUUGUUCCAGUGUUUGAUCACUUUCAGAAUACAAAUAUUUCUUAUUUUCUUGAAGUGGGACUUGCAUGUUUUUCAGUCAACUGCCCACUGCUUCUUGGCAUGUUCUCUCAUGUUCUCCUCAGAUAUCAGAUGCUCCAAGCCCUUAAUCAACUUCACUGUACUUGUUCCAUUAUGUCCAUGUCUUCCUUGUACUGGGGAAGCUGAAACUGAAUCCACUGCUGGGAAGAUGAGAAGAAUUGACUCCCUUACCUGCUAGUGAUGCUUUUUCUAACAGAGGCUAUUGGUCUUCCAAAUGACUUAAUUUGUGCUUAGGUAGUAAAUGUAUGCAGUGAAUGGGCAGUGAAAUUCAUGGGAAUAAUUAAAAUGGACACAUGGUGGCUGGCAUUGUCAGUGCUCUGACCCUUGAACAAGAAAUAGGCAAAGCAACAAGUAAUAUGUACUGAGGGAAAGGAAACUUUCAGGGCAUGAUUCUCCUGUGGCAGUGCUGCUGGAUGGUGCUAUUGUUUUGAGGCACCCUGCUUCAACUUGUGGCUGACAUUUCAGGUGAGUUACCACGGUUUGGUGAGCAGCACUGUUUAGAUGGAAGGGCACGGCUGUAUCCAGCAAGGCCAGGUUUUGCUAAUGUGAAGGGCAGUGCAGCUGGGGAACCUGGCAGGACAAGAGGGCUGAGGCAAAGCAGCUGGUGGGAGGUAGCUGGGCCGUGGAGGCUGAGCUAAUGAGGCUGCAGUGCACACAGUAGUGGGGCUGGCAUGGCUGAGCUGGGAGGGCUGAGAAGGCAAGACGUGGGUACACGACUAGGUUGACCUGGGCUGUGUCCCGCAUAAUAUGCUGGCAGAGUUAAGACCAGAGCUUAGCUGGAUGUUAAGAAUGAGACUCACAGGAAGAUUCAGGGCCAGGGCACUGGCCCGCUGAGAGGGAGGGACCACGGAGAGAGGCAGGGCGGCCAAGCCGGGUCCUUCAGUUCAACGGGACGGGCCGAGCUAGACUGGGGGCUGGGUCCGGCCGGAGGGGGCUGCGCAACUCGCCAAUUCUCUCCAGUGGCAGCCGGAGGUGGCGGGGGCGACCAGAUUGCGGCCGGGGCGGGGAGAGGGAGAGAGAGCGCUGAGGGGCGACUCCUCCCCCGCCACACCCGGUGCGGCAGGAAGAGGAACAGCCGCACCUAGCUCCCGCUAGCCCCGGCCCAGCGCAGCGCCAUGGCGGCAGAGGACGUGGACGGGCUGGCCGUGUCCCGGCCCCACUAUGGCUCUGUCUUGGAUAAUGAGAGAUUAACAGCAGAGGAAAUGGAUGAAAGGCGACGCCAGAAUGUGGCCUAUGAAUACCUUUGUCACCUGGAGGAAGCAAAGAGGUGAGAAUAAUUGAUCUUGAAACUGCUGGUGAAGAUGUGACCUGUGGUACAUCUUGUCUCCAUUUCUUAAUAGCUAUAUAGUUUCAGUAGAGUAAACAACCAACCAAAGCAACUCUUUUCCUCCCCGAAAAACCAACCGACCUCUGAUGUGUGUAUCUAGUGUUCUCAAAGACUUCAUGACAAGGGCUCUAUAGCUGUAUUACUCUGUUAUUCCUAGCACUGGAUGGGUUCUCCUGAUACCAUGAUGAUUUUUUACCUUUUCUUUUUAUAUACCUCUUAUAUAUUCCUAAUACCCUCAACAUGUGUGCUUGUAAUUCUUUAAGUCUAAUAUCUUAGCAUAGUUCUGGUAUUCUGUUAAGCCAGAAGACCAAACAUCCUAAAGGUCUCCCAGUCAGAGGCUGAAAUACCUUAUGGUAUCUUGAAAAACCAAGACCCCCUCUAAAGCAUAUCCUGUAAACUAAAAUUAAGCCCAUCUGGGGAAAAAUACUUUAAGGUAAGAAAAUGUCACACUGUUCAUUUAAACCUCUCAUUGGAGAAUUAUUGUUAAGUAUGCUAAUUUACAAAGGCUGUAAAAUUGUAUAUGCAAUCUGCCAUGUGUGAACAUUUCAGAGUAUUCCACCUUGGCAAGUUAUUGCACCAUAAAAAUCCUUAUUAGAUACCGAGAUAAAAAACCCUUUAUCCCUUAACCGUGUCUAACUCUUAAUUCUAAAUCCCUCCCCGUUGUCUAACUUGUAUCUGGUGCAGUAUUGCUUCCCAGCUUAGCAGUGCACAUGAAAAACAAUUAUUCCCUUCCUCUUAACUGAAACCUUGUACAAAUUUGAAGUGUAGCAGUGUAUAUCCCUUGCACACUGAGAACUCAUUUCUUGUGUAUUUCUCCAUGCAUCCAUCUGUUUAAUAGGUCUGUAGUACUUUUCCCUGAGUUGCUCGGAUUUCUCUCCAGGCACUCAGUGUCUUUCUGGAAGUCCACUGCCAAAAGAGAAAAAUCUUUUCCAACAAGGCGUUAGUGGGCAUACUUCAAAAGAGUGCAAUGAUUAUUUUGUAUACACCAAUAGAUUUGAUAGUAUCGUACAUGAUUGCAUGGUAUCUGCUUUUUCGUCAUGUUAUGGUAUAGUAGAGUUUUCCUGAUUUGUCACCUUGAAGUUGUGCUGCUGAAUAAUACGUUCCACAGUAACAUCUUUAAUAUUUUCAUCUAGCCCUUGCUUGGGGACUAACUCUUUAAGUAAAUCAGCUUUGACUCUGAAGUUCUUGUCUCUGCUUCUGAGUGUUGUCUUGAUAUUGAUGAUGUUGAGCAACUGGGCAUUUGAUUUUUGCCACACCUUGUCAAAAAAAAAAGAAGUUUUCAAUUUUGUCUCAGGGUGAGCCUUGAGGUGUUUCAAAUAAUGCCUAGUGGUUGCUAGUAUGUUUUGUAAAGAAUGAAGCAAUGGCUGUGUUGCUCAAAAUUCAAGUAGUGGUGUACAACCUUCCUUGUAUCCACUUUAGCAGUUGGAGCACUUAUUUUCCAAGUGGAAGGUUUGCUUGGAGAGCCUCAACCCUUAUCCAGCCCAUAACCUAUGUUUGCUUAGUGGCAUAAAGGCUGUCCAUGUGUAUGUGAGUCGGAGUUCCUGAUUUCUAAAGUUAAGGCCAUCUCACUUAACGUAAGAGUUAAAGAUUAAAUGACCAGGAGAGGAGCAGACUUUUGAGUUUAAUAAUUAAGAUACACAAGGGAGAGCAAAGGCUUGAUUUCACUGUCUGCUUCCAGGAAUUUUUUUUCCUUCCUGAGAAGUUAUUUUGUAAAUUACCCUUCGAGUUUUAUUUAUUACUGCUAGUACAGUCUGGAAGAGGGCUUUUGGCCGCUUUGUUGGUAAAGAGUUCAAUUAACAGAAACAAUUAAACGAGAGCUAUAAAAGAUCGGUAUGUUUGAAGUGAAUGCCCUUGAUGUGAGAUUUUCUGUAUUUGACUUCUUUGCCAGUAGUGUAACUGAGGCAUAGCAUCUGUAUACUGUAGCAUUUUGCUUGUGCUGUUGAUAACAGUCCCUCUCAGCUGUGAGAGGGCUAAUAAUCUUUCUUCACGAUGAGGGAAGGUCAGAUUGGAAGUUGUAUCUCUAAGGAGAAGAGGAGGACCUUAGAGCACAGGAAGGUAGCUGGUGUACUCUGUGUCACACUCAGAAGCUGAAAAGGUGAAGCUGAAAAUUGUGAAGCUGAUGGUAGCCAAGGGCAAGGUGGGAGGCAGCUGGAGAACACCACUUGUUGACUCCUCUCCUCUUUCCCAUAAUCGUGUUACAUUAUUGCAGUGUAAUAUUGCAUUCAAACACUGUAGUUUGUAUUCAUUUUUUUCCUACAACACAAAGGCAUCUAAAAUCGUGUGAUUAACAACAUGCUGAUUUGCAUUGCAUCUCUUGCUAUCCCUUUAACUGAGCAACAGAUAUGGAAUCUAGAAGCAAAGUAGGGUUUUUUUAAAUGUUAGAAGAAAGUGAGAUGAAAAUUGGCUAGCACCUAAUUUUGUACUGAAAUAAAAAAUUUAGAAAAGUUUGAAUUUCUGAACUGUCUGACAUGACGGCCCAUAUGCAGUAACUUUGAGUACUUAUGUACUCAAUUUAUGGCAAUUUAUAGCUGUUUGCAGGACCUGUCUGCUAAUGAGCGUACAUCAGGAGCAUUAUUAGAGGAAUAAUUUGUGCUUAUUCAAUGGUAUUUCAGCAUGUUUUGUUGAGUUUUUUUCAUUGUCACUGUUUUUCUAUUGUUAUGUAGUAGUUUUUUUAGUUCAGUCAAUAAUGUGCAACGGUCUUGUGAAACAGGAAUUAAUUCUUGCUAGUUGGAGAAAGGGAAGCAGAGUGCAACUAAGUUGCUCAAGAUUGUGAAAGACUGACAUGAAAUUUGGAAUUAAAAUAAAGAUUGUGAAUAAAGGGAUUCCUUUACUAUCUGUGGACCAGAUGCCUCAUUCUUGAAGAA
Long non-coding RNA from Catharus ustulatus (Swainson's thrush), 4508 nucleotides. RefSeq lists it as uncharacterized. NCBI's taxonomy places the organism in Eukaryota, Metazoa, Chordata, Aves, Passeriformes, Turdidae. The transcript is spliced from 3 exons. The record is from RefSeq and is a predicted model, not a curated record.